AAAAGCUGCACACACUGUUCGUAAACACGCGGCACAUGGAGGCGUGAACGAUACUUACAUGAUUGCGCUCCUUGCACACACCGCACACAAACACACACAAACACACACUCACAGCGACAGUUGAGGUUAGUGUUUGGUUGACAGCAAUGUAGUUUGCCUCUGGGUUGACACAGACACUCUGGUUCUCAGCCCUGGGUCAGCACCCUGGCAUCCAGCCAAUAGAAAUAGGGCAGUGAAACUGUGCCCCAAUCAGCAGAGAAAAUAUCCUGUGACAAGACAGAGCAAGAGGAGUAAACCUAUCAGGGAUUGAGUUAGGAGGCAUUUAAGGUGAGGUGUGCUGUGCUGUUGAUCUUGUCUGUCAAUGACCGGUGAGCCAAUAUUACCUCAGGGCUGGCAGUUUGAAGUAAACUGCGAUUUGUCUUCCUUGUGAAUACAAUUGAGAAAUGUGCAUUGCUGGCACAACUGUUCUUUGUAAUAGACUCAAGCUAAGCCUGUAUACAGCUUUAUGAGGUGGCGUACUGGAGGUAAAGGUUCGUAUCCAGUUCUUUAUGACAGGUGUGUUGGACUGGGAGAGCAGGGGGAACGGCCCCCGUGCCCUUCCACCCAAAGCCCAAGGCUGUAGUUAAUGGUAGCACACAAUAAAGUGUGUGUUAGUGCCUAGUCCGAGCUCACGCACGUAAAUACUGUAUAGUAACAGAGUAUACUUGCUUGAAUCCCAAUCCUGGAGCCCUGAUUCCACAGUUUGUCUCUGUUCAGUCCUUCACAUGCUGAAACAAGUGUUUGGGGUAUGUGGCCUUGCUCUCCUCUCAUCCACAGCCAUCAUGAUGGGAACCACUAAAUAUAGAGACCUCCGGGGUGAUUAUCCCAGCCUGUUAUCUCUCUGCCUGAGGCCUGUGCUGUUACACUCUAUUGUUCUCCUCCUCUUGUGUAUGACAGCUUUACGGGCGCGUAGGCCCAAUUUAGGCCUCUCAGUGGAGUGGAUUUCAACAUAUUCCUAAUAUCUAGCCUUAAAGCUGCAAUGGGUAACAUUCCAAAAUAAAUGUGAAUGUGAGAAACCACACCCCAUUCGUCCUUUCCUCCAGCUCAAGUUUGAUUGACUAGGUGGAAGGCCCGCUUUGCCAAAGGCAAUUGGCUGGUAAAGGAUUGCUGGAACACAAUUGGCUGUAAAGUAGCGUGACUCCAAAAUUAGAAAUUGACAUUCCGCUGGCCCUGAGCUGUCUGUGUUGCUAAACAACUCUCAGAGGUCCUUAUAAGCUUACACAACAUGUUUAAAGGGGAAAAGGAUUAAAAAUAACGACAAAAAACGUAAUCAAAAAACAAAACAUGCACAUGUCUUUUGUUUGUUAAGCGUCUGAUGCGGAAUCUGUCUUCAAUAGGGUGUAGAAUGCCACCGUGUCUGAGUGGGGCAGGUCUAGUCCCAUUCACACACACGGAACGUUGUGCUACUUUCUCUGCUUUGUUACAGGGCAGUAAUAUGGAAAUGUCCGUCAGGGCCAGUUGAGUCUUUGAUUCAGAGCUGACCAAGCUGAACAGCAUUGUGGGAAGUGGUUUCCCGUCGGGUACAGCGAAGGAAGUCAUCCCGUCAGGAAAUGGAAAUCGGGCUUCCUGUCUUUGUUGAGCAGCCGUGCUCUUGGGAGGGAGGUGAUAGGUCUGUCGGAGGUGGAAAUGAUAAGAUGAUAAGACGUCUUUCUUCACAAACCCAAAGUCCCUGAACUCUCAGAAGACCAGUGACUUGAGGAGUUUGACGUCCAUCUGCGUGUGGCGGAUUUCUCUGAGAAGCUGCACUUUGUCACGACAGCUCCCCUAUGAAAAGCAAAUAACUGAAUGUGUCAAGUGUGACACCACAGUGUGACACUUCUGUCUCUAUGAGAUUGUUAAACUAAAUGUGUUUCCACUUUCCACCACAGACAUCUGCAGCAGAAUCGUCUAUGACCAAGAGAGGACGCUGACACCUACUGGUGGCUGAACUGAACUGAAAAAGAAUCUGUGAACAUCUGACCAUCACAUCUAAAUAUGAGUUUGUUCCAAAGCCAUGGGCAUUCAUAUGGAUGUGCCUCCCCCCAACAGUUGCCCACUCCUUUGGCAUUGUGUCUGUCGGUAUUUGCUGCCAUUCCGCCACAAAGAGACUAAACAACAAAUGCAAAAGUUAUUUAUAGCCAUUUAUAGCUUACAUUUAUUGUUUCAGCAUACUAGACUUUGACAGAACUUAUACGUUAUGAUUACAUUCAUAGUGCUUAAAUCAAUAAUUGGUUACAGUUGAAUAAAACAUGUUCAUAUAGGUAUCUAAUUAUGUGCAUAAUUAAGUUACAAUGAGAUUUCACCUAAUGUACUUGGCAUACAUAAUUUCAACAGUACAGCCUUAAUCAUAAGAAUUCCUAAGGAUACAGUAAUCACUCAUUAGGGUUAUAGUAAACAAAAAACCCCAAAACCCCCUUGAAGUUGUUUAAAUUUGGAAGCUGAUUAGGUACCUGGCUCACCACAUGUUUCCUCCUUGUAGUGUUGUAUAAGGGUGAUGCUUCCACCUGCCUGGCAAUCACACUGGCAACGUCCUGCUCUCCUGUCAGUAGUCUGCUUACACUCUCUGCCUCUGCGCAAUUCCCAUAGACAAACUGAUUAUCGGAAUUGGUCGUGUCUGUGGUCGUCAGACCAAACAGGUUCCUACAGGAUUUGCAGGGAGGUAUAUCCUCUCCAUUCCUGAGGCUGUAAGCACGACAACUGACAGAGUCAGGGAGUUCAAAGGUGCCUUUAAAAUCAUUUCUCCUGCUUUUUCCUGGGAAGUAGGACAUCACAGCAUCGGACACAGAUUUGUGCCAGGUAUGUAGACAGGACACCGCUAUCAUGAUUUUACCUGCGGUCCGUCCUGUGGAGGACAUGGACGCUCCGUAGUACUUUUUUCCUUUCAGGUACUGAGAGA
Osmerus eperlanus (European smelt) is the source of this 2914-nucleotide long non-coding RNA. RefSeq lists it as uncharacterized. The transcript is spliced from 3 exons. NCBI's taxonomy places the organism in Eukaryota, Metazoa, Chordata, Actinopteri, Osmeriformes, Osmeridae. The record is from RefSeq and is a predicted model, not a curated record.